Molecule: ribosomal RNA, 489 nt
Filed under: uncultured bacterium
Lineage: Bacteria
Description: partial 16S ribosomal RNA
Rfam family: Bacterial small subunit ribosomal RNA
Source: RNAcentral
AUUGAACGCUGGCGGCAGGCCUAACACAUGCAAGUCGAACGGUAACAGGAAGAAGCUUGCUUCUUUGCUGACGAGUGGCGGACGGGUGAGUAAUGUCUGGGAAACUGCCUGAUGGAGGGGGAUAACUACUGGAAACGGUAGCUAAUACCGCAUAACGUCGCAAGACCAAAGAGGGGGACCUUCGGGCCUCUUGCCAUCGGAUGUGCCCAGAUGGGAUUAGCUAGUAGGUGGGGUAACGGCUCACCUAGGCGACGAUCCCUAGCUGGUCUGAGAGGAUGACCAGCCACACUGGAACUGAGACACGGUCCAGACUCCUACGGGAGGCAGCAGUGGGGAAUAUUGCACAAUGGGCGCAAGCCUGAUGCAGCCAUGCCGCGUGUAUGAAGAAGGCCUUCGGGUUGUUAAGUACUUUCAGCGGGGAGGAAGGGAGUAAAGUUAAUACCUUUGCUCAUUGACGUUACCCGCAGAAGAAGCACCGGCUAACUCCGU